Molecule: ribosomal RNA, 780 nt
Filed under: uncultured bacterium
Lineage: Bacteria
Description: bacterial SSU rRNA
Rfam family: Bacterial small subunit ribosomal RNA
Source: RNAcentral
AGAGUUUGAUCAUGGCUCAGAUUGAACGCUGGCGGUAUGCCUAACACAUGCAAGUCGAACGAGGUAGCAAUACCUAGUGGCGGACGGGUGAGGAAUACGUAGGGAUCUGCCCUUAAGUGGGGGAUAACCCGGGGAAACCCGGAUUAAUACCGCAUGAUCUCGCAAGAGCAAAGAGGGGGACCGCAAGGCCUCUCGCUUUUGGAGGAACCUACGUCGGAUUAGCUAGUUGGUGAGGUAAUGGCUCACCAAGGCGACGAUCCGUAACUGGUCUGAGAGGAUGAUCAGUCACACCGGAACUGAGACACGGUCCGGACUCCUACGGGAGGCAGCAGUGGGGAAUAUUGGACAAUGGGCGAAAGCCUGAUCCAGCAAUACCGCGUGUGUGAAGAAGGCCUUCGGGUUGUAAAGCACUUUAAGUUGGGAAGAAAAAGCUUCACCUAAUACGUGAAGCCUUGACGGUACCGACAGAAUAAGCACCGGCUAACUCUGUGCCAGCAGCCGCGGUAAUACGGAGGGUGCUAGCGUUAAUCGGAUUUACUGGGCGUAAAGCGUGCGUAGGUGGUUUGAUAAGUCGAUUGUGAAAGCCCCGGGCUUAACCUGGGAAUUGCGGUCGAUACUGUCAGACUCGAAAACGGUAGAGGGAGGUGGAACUCCAGGUGUAGCGGUGAAAUGCGUAGAUAUCUGGAAGAACACCGAUGGCGAAGGCAGCCUCCUGGGCCUGUUUUGACACUGAGGCACGAAAGCGUGGGUAGCAAACAGGAUUAGAUACCCUGGUAGUCC